GAAUUUUUCGCAAUGGGGGCAACCCUGACGAAGCAAUGCCGCGUGGAUGAUGAAGUCUCUUGGGACGUAAAAUCCUUUCGACGGGGACGAAACCGCAAGGUUGACGGUACCCGUGGAAGAAGCCCCGGCUAACUCCGUGCCAGCAGCCGCGGUAAUACGGGGGGGGCAAGCGUUGUUCGGAAUUACUGGGCGUAAAGGGUGCGUAGGCGGCGCUCUAAGUCGGAUGUGAAAACUCUGGGCUCAACCCAGAGCCUGCAUCUGAAACUGGAGUGCUAGGGUGCUGGAGGGGAAAGCGGAAUUCCUGGUGUAGCGGUGAAAUGCGUAGAUAUCAGGAGGAACACCGGUGGCGAAGGCGGCUUUCUGGACAGUAACCGACGCUGAGGCACGAAAGCUAGGGGAGCAAACAGG
Molecule: ribosomal RNA, 408 nt
Filed under: uncultured bacterium
Lineage: Bacteria
Description: bacterial SSU rRNA
Rfam family: Bacterial small subunit ribosomal RNA
Source: RNAcentral